AGAUUAAGCCAUGCAUGUCUCAGAAAUAGCUUUUUCACAGUAAAUCUGCAAAUGGCUCAUUAAAACAGUGAUUGUUUGAUUGGGCUUCAUGUACAUGGAUAUCAUUGGUAAUUCUACUGCUAAUACAUGCCCCUCUCUCCAACUGAAAAGGCGGGGAAGCUUACUAGUUCCAAAACUUGUGCUGGCAAUGUUAGCAUUUAUUGCUGAUUCACAGUAAACCUUUGAAUCAAGUGGCAGAUGCCAUUGAUCACCCAUUUGAAUUUCUGACCUAUCAGCUUCCGACGGUGGGAUUUUGGCUCCCCGUGGCAAUGACGGGUGACGGAGAAUUAGGGUUUGAUUCCGGAGAGGGAGCCUGAGAGAUGGCUACUACAUCUAAGGAAGGCAGCAGGCGCGCAAAUUACCCAAUCUUGACAACAGGAGGUAGUGACAAGAAAUAACAAUAUGGGGCAUCUGUGUCUUGUGAUUGGAAUGAGCUCACAAUAAAGAUGUCUGUGAAUAUCCAUUGGAGGGCAAGUCUGGUGCCAGCAGCCGCGGUAAUUCCAGCUCCAAUAGCGUAUAUUAAAGUUGCUGCAGUUAAAAAGCUCGUAGUUGGAUUUCUGCGGGGGGAACUGGUCUGCCCAUUGGGUGUGUACCUGGCUCUGCCCCAGCAUUAUGUUGGGAGUCCUUGCUGCACUUGACUGUGUGGGAUGGAAUCCACAAUGUUUACCUUGAGAAAAUCAAAGUGCUUAGGGCAGGCAUUUGUCAUGGAUACAUUAGCAUGGAAUAAUACGACAAGCAUUGCUUUUGUUGGUUUCGAAACAAUGUAAUGAUGAAUAGGGGCAGUUGGGGGCAGUUGUAUUUAAUUGUCAGAGGUGAAAUUCUUGGAUUUGUUAAAGACAAUCGACUGCGAAAGCAUUUGCCAAGGAUGUUUUCAUUGAUCAAGAACGAAAGUUAGGGGAUCGAAGACGAUCAGAUACCGUCUUAGUCUUAACCAUAAACUAUGCCAGCUAGGAGUCGGGGUUUGUUAUUGUGUGAUCUCCUUGGUGUCUUAUGGGAAAUCAAAGUCUUUGGGCUCUGGGGGGAGUAUGGUCGCAAGUCUGAAACUUAAAGGAAUUGACGGAAGGGCACCACCAGGAGUGGAGCCUGCGGCUUAAUUUGACUCAACACGGGGAAACUUACCAGGUCCGGACACAAUAAGGAUUGACAGAUUGAUAGCUCUUUCUUGAUUUUGUGGGUGGUGGUGCAUGGCCGUUCUUAGUUGGUGGAGUGAUCUGUCUGGUUAAUUCCGUUAACGAACGAGACCUUAACUUGCUAAGUAGUUGCAUGUAACCUGGGUUAUGUGGAUGACUUCUUAGAGGGACCUUGUGUGCAUAAUGCAAGGAAGUUUGAGGCAAUAACAGGUCUGUGAUGCCCUUAGAUGUUCUGGGCUGCACGCGCGCUACACUGAUGUGCUCAACAAGUGUCCUUUGCUUGGAAAAGUUGGGCAACCCUGCAAGCCAUACCGCGAUGGGGAUCGAUUGUUGCAAUUAUUAAUCUUAAACGAGGAAUUCCUAGUAGACGCGAUUCAUCAGAUCGUGUUGAUUAUGUCCCUGCCCUUUGUACACACCGCCCGUCGCUCCUACCGAUUGAAUGAUCCGGUAAAUAUGUCAGACCAUCAUUGCUUUCACUUUGUGCUUGCUGUGGUGGGAAGUUUUAUGAACCUUAUUAUUUAGAGGAAGGAGAAGUCGUAACAA
Molecule: ribosomal RNA, 1712 nt
Filed under: Gonyaulax ellegaardiae
Lineage: Eukaryota; Dinophyceae; Gonyaulacales; Gonyaulacaceae
Description: SSU rRNA
Rfam family: Eukaryotic small subunit ribosomal RNA
Source: RNAcentral